This is a long non-coding RNA of Ctenopharyngodon idella (grass carp), 2350 nucleotides long. RefSeq lists it as uncharacterized. NCBI's taxonomy places the organism in Eukaryota, Metazoa, Chordata, Actinopteri, Cypriniformes, Xenocyprididae. The transcript is spliced from 3 exons. The record is from RefSeq and is a predicted model, not a curated record.
AAUUAGUAAUUAAUUACUUUUUUGAAGUAACUUACCCAACACUGACUGUUUCCUUUCCAUCACCGCAGCAAUUCUCUCUCUCUUUCUGGUGCAUGCUGGGAGUGAGUGUACCCUUUGGAUUGCAUGUGGGAGAGCGGUUUUUCUGAUUUUUUUUUUCUUAUUAUUUUUCUCGGUUUAACCGAUAUCUACUCUCUCUCCUCUCUUUUUUUGUGUGUGUUUCUCUGAUUUAGUAAGUAGAGAGAAUGGCCUUUCUCUCCGGAAUGGUUUCAGGUGUGUGCCGGAAUUAGGCGCAAAAAUCGAAGAUGUGAUCUUAGAAGUCGCUGAAAAAAUUGGUCACGAAAACAUAAACUCUGCCUCGAAAGUGAAUAAGGCGGCUGUAGUGUUCUUGAAAAAUGAAAAUUUAGUGAAGGACAUGAUUGAAAACGGAAACUUACGUGCCUGUAACACCCUUAUCUGCUCCGGCUACAAAAGUUACUGUCUCAAAUGAAGGCUACCUCCGUUUAUUGGCAAUGAUGUAAAAGAUUAGGUUCGGAAAAAUUGCAGUGUGUCUCAUGGAGAGAGCUCAUACAUGGUGUAUGCAAGCAUGGACAUUGUUUUGAAUGUGGAGAAACCGGACACAAACGUUUAACCUGUCCCAAUAACGCGCUGAUGAAAAUCAAGGCCUACAGAGAGUUGUGGAAAAUAAUACAGUGACUGAAGACAGUUUGCAGGCAGAGACGGUCAAUGUGGAGUCUGGUGUGAUGAGCAUUCAGAAAGAGAGCAACAUUGAGUGACUGAAGCAGUUAAUCAGCUUGCUACAGGAAAAGCACCAGACACUGAUGGUCUACCGGCAGUGUUUUAUAAAUUUCUUUGAAAGGAAAUUGGACAAGAUUUUUUUUUUAGUGUGUUAAAGGAAAUUUUUAAUCUGAAGAUGCUCCCUAAAAUUUGUCAGCUGGCUGUUCUUUCUCUAAUUCCAAAAAAAAAAAAAAAAAAAAAAAAAAAAAGAUCUGUGUAUGCUAAAAAAUUGGAGGCCUGUAUCUUUUCUUACCACUGAUUAUAAGAUACUCUCUCUAAGUGUAUUGUUAAUGGACUUACAAUGUGUUGAAGUUAAUAUUUGAGGAUCAAUCUUAUUGUAUACCUAAGAGAUCUAUUUAUGAUAAUUUGUUUUUAAUGAGUUUAAAAUAUACUAAGGUGUACGCUGUUGAUUUUGAUAUUGUUUCUCUAGAUCAGGACAAGGCUUUUGAUCACAUAGAUCACCAAUACUUGUUCCAUAUUCUUAAGUGUUAUGGUUUUGGAGAAUUUUUAUUUUUUUCUAUUUUGUCUUGGAUAAAAGUGUUUAGGGUUCUUGAUCCACCAUUCAAUUUGAUCUGAGAAAUACAGGAAAUUCUGGUGGACUUUUUUUGGUCAGGACAGCAUUGGCUAAAACCAGCUAUCCUUUAUUUGCCAGUGCAUGAUUGUGGACAGGGACUCAUUGAUAUAAAGGCCAGAUUGGCAACCUUUUGCUUAAUGGCUGUUCAGUGUCUUCUUUAUCAUCAUUCUCAUGUUUGGAUGGAUGUUGCAUGUGCCCUUUUAUGUAAGACUUGAAGAACGUGCCUGGAUAAACAAUUAUUUGCAAAGAAAUUAAAAGGAACUUUGCUUGGAGGCCUUAUACCAUCUUAUAUUGGUGUUUUGGAACUGUGGCGGAUGUUUACUCUCUCUGAGAAUGGGAGAUUCCUGAUGUAUGGAUCUUUGAAGAACGGUUAUUUUAUCUAAGACAUGCAAAGAGCCAUAUGGAUUCCCUGGCUUCAAAAUGUGUUUAAAGGAUGAAGAUUGGGAGUAAGUUCUUGGAAAUAUGUUGUCAUUGAAAACUCACUACAGAGUAGUGAUCUACCGAUAUUGAUUUUUUUUUUUUGUUUCAGAAUCGAUACCGAUAAUUUGUGUGUUUAUGUGCCCAACUUUGCAGAAAUGUAAUACUUCAUUUUAAACUACAGUUUUAGUAGAUUUAUAAGCCGUUUAAUAGGCUAAAGAGUGAAGAAUAAUUCAGCGGGAUAAUGCUAAAUAACUGAAUAAUAUACUCUGGAAUAUUGGAAUAUAAACUUCAUAUUUUAUUGCAUUUCUCAAUGUUAUAUCAGAAUUAUUAAUGUUUUUGUUCUAGAUUAUGAAAUAUCUGCUGACAAAGCACUGUUUAUCUAUGCAUUUACACAGAACUAUACUCAAACUGCGAUCGCUUGCGGAGAUAAUAAAUAAUUAAUUUCCAUAGAGUUGUUUACUUGGAUGUUUAUUAGCAAAUUAAUGGUUAUAUAGAUUAUAUAGAUUAAUGAUGAGCAGAGACAACUGAGAGAGAAUUAAAUUCAGCGCUUUUAUUUCCAACAUGUGCUCAUUCAUGGCUGUA